UACGUAUGGUGCAAGCGUUAUCCGGAUUUACUGGGUGUAAAGGGAGCGCAGGCGGCACGGCAAGCCUGAUGUGAAAGCCCGCGGCCCAACCGCGGGACUGCAUUGGGAAUUACCGGGCUGGAGUGCCGGAGAGGUAGGCGGAAUUCCUAGUGUAGCGGUGAAAUGCGUAGAUAUUAGGAGGAACACCAGUGGCGAAGGCGGCCUACUGGACGGUGACUGACGCUGAGGCUCGAAAGCGUGGGGAGCAAACAGG
This 253-nucleotide ribosomal RNA is filed under the name uncultured bacterium. Its description in RNAcentral is "partial 16S ribosomal RNA". It matches the Rfam family "Bacterial small subunit ribosomal RNA", at positions 524 to 776 of the family's 1533-position model. The record is from RNAcentral.